UACGUAGGUGGCAAGCGUUGUCCGGAUUUAUUGGGCGUAACGCGCGCGCAGGCGGUUUGUUAAGUCCGAGGUGAAAUCUCCCGGCUCAACUGGGAGGGGUCUUCGGAUACUGGCCGACUUGAGGAGAGCAGAGGUGAGUGGAAUUCUCGGUGUAGUGGUGAAAUGCGUAGAUAUCGAGAGGAACACCAGCGGCGAAGGCGGCUCACUGGGCUCCACCUGACGCUGAGGCGCGAAAGCGUGGGGAGCGAACCGG
This 253-nucleotide ribosomal RNA is filed under the name uncultured bacterium. RNAcentral's name for it is "partial 16S ribosomal RNA". It matches the Rfam family "Bacterial small subunit ribosomal RNA", at positions 524 to 776 of the family's 1533-position model. The record is from RNAcentral.